RNAcentral lists this unclassified non-coding RNA (377 nucleotides) under uncultured fungus. Its description in RNAcentral is "partial contains small subunit ribosomal RNA, internal transcribed spacer 1, and 5.8S ribosomal RNA". The stretch from base 1 to 73 matches the Rfam family "Eukaryotic small subunit ribosomal RNA", at positions 1759 to 1831 of the family's 1831-position model. The record is from RNAcentral. Lineage: Eukaryota; Fungi.
UCAAACUUGGUCAUUUAGAGGAAGUAAAAGUCGUAACAAGGUUUCCGUAGGUGAACCUGCGGAAGGAUCAUUAUUGAAUAAACCUGGUGGGUUGUCGCUGGCUCUUUGGAGCAUGUGCACGCUCAUCAUCUUUAUCCAUCCACCUGUGCACACUUUGUAGUCUUGGGACAGAUGCUCUGUCGGGUGAUACGCCCGGAUGUGAGGAUUGCUUGUGCACACUGUACAGCUUUACCUCUUCUUCUGCUCAAGUCUAUGUGGUUUCAUACACCCCAAUAGCAUGUCAUAGAAUGUAUUCAAUGGGCCUAUGUGCCUAUAUAAAACUAUAUACAACUUUCAGCAACGGAUCUCUUGGCUCUCGCAUCGAUGAAGAACGCAGC